Molecule: long non-coding RNA, 1271 nt
Organism: Rattus norvegicus (Norway rat)
Lineage: Eukaryota; Metazoa; Chordata; Mammalia; Rodentia; Muridae
Source: RefSeq, a predicted model, not a curated record
AGUGACCGUUAGACUUCCGGCGCUGUCGCUGGCCCCACACAUACUCGCCCAGCAGUGCCAGCUGCGCUCCCAAAGACCCCUCGGAUCUCCCUCAGUGCCAACUUCCCAGCCUGCCUCAGCGGAAGGACUUCCUGGAAGACACUGGUGGAGCUCAGAAGCAUCCUCACGGGAGAAGUUUCCCCAGUGGAACCCAGCAGCAGCAUUUUGCCCGAACAACUCCACCCUACCCGAACCCCGGCCCGCGCUUGUGCCUUUCCAGUGUGUCAACGGCCUCUUAGGUCUGUGAACCGAAAAACUGCCUUCAGGUUUCCACAUUCAGCGUGGCCUUGUCAGGGAACCUGGCUAACCCUGGUGAAGAAUGAAGAAAGGACAGACACACAGGCAAUCUGGAAAUCUGGAGUCAGGAGUCAGAUACCAACUCCCAUGGCAAUGUGAAACUUUAGCACCUUUCUUAUCUACAGCACAGGCAGGGAGAUCUGCCUGGUGUGCCUUCUUCUACGGUAUGCAGGCCCUCACUCCCGAGACUCCAAGACUGAACAAACAUAGCGUUCUCCAUCUAUUACCGUCUACCCUACUCCAGAAGUCCAGCUCUGACCAUUCUAGAUCUCCCCACUACCCCGACACCCGUCUAGGCCCCCUGCAAGCUUGUCUGCUCUCUGAUAUCUCUCCCUGCCCCGAUGCUGGCUCCCCUGCCUGGGAAAGCCCAGACUGUGCUUGGGCAGUGCAGCUGGUCCAGGGAUAAAUACCUGGGAGAACCUUGUUUUAAAACAAAUUCAUGAUGAUAACUGAUACCCCCCAACACACACACCUGUGAGAGAGACAUCACAGUCUUCCAAAUUGCUUAACUUAUAUUAACUUAGUCCUUCUGAACAUCCUUAUGGUCCAAAAUAAAGGACACCCAUCUCAUACUCUGUACCCUAAAUUUCUCUCCGGAACUCUGCAGAUACCUUAGCCCUGGUCUGAAUUGCAGAGAGGAUUUCAAUAUACUUUGUUUUCCUUCCAACAUGUUUCAUUCUUACAGCAUUCCAAUUCCAUAGACUGCUGAACUUCAUGAGGUGAAUGAUUGUGUACGGGGAAAGGGCUCAGCCUGGGGACCUGUGACUGCCAACUGUUCCAGGUCUACUCCAACCCAGUCCUUAAUAACACCUAAGAGGGCCAAACUUUCCAGACUUUAACAACAAAUGGAUUCACAAACCACCACCACCAGAAGUGGGUGGAGGUAGCAAAAAGCAAAGAAAAUGCUAAAAAAAAUAAAAUAAAUAAAAAGUAAA